RNAcentral lists this ribosomal RNA (254 nucleotides) under uncultured bacterium. RNAcentral's name for it is "partial 16S ribosomal RNA". It matches the Rfam family "Bacterial small subunit ribosomal RNA", at positions 524 to 776 of the family's 1533-position model. The record is from RNAcentral.
UACGUAGGCAGCGAGCGUUGUUCGGAGUUACUGGGCGUAAAGGGUGUGUAGGCGGUUGUUUAAGUUUGGUGUGAAAUCUCCCGGCUCAACUGGGAGGGUGCGCCGAAUACUGAAUGACUUCGAGUGCGGGAGAGGAGAGUGGAAUUCCUGGUGUAGCGGUGAAAUGCGUAGAUAUCAGGAGGAACACCGGUGGUGUAGACGGCUCUCUGGACCGUAACUGACGCUGAGACGCGAAAGCGUGGGGAGCAAACAGG